RNAcentral lists this ribosomal RNA (566 nucleotides) under uncultured bacterium. Its description in RNAcentral is "bacterial SSU rRNA". It matches the Rfam family "Bacterial small subunit ribosomal RNA", at positions 350 to 917 of the family's 1533-position model. The record is from RNAcentral.
AGCAGUGAGGAAUAUUGGUCAAUGGGCGAGAGCCUGAACCAGCCAAGUAGCGUGCAGGAUGACGGCCCUCCGGGUUGUAAACUGCUUUUAGUUGGGAAUAAAAAAAGGGACUUGUCCCUUCUUGUAUGUACCUUCAGAAAAAGGACCGGCUAAUUCCGUGCCAGCAGCCGCGGUAAUACGGAAGGUCCAGGCGUUAUCCGGAUUUAUUGGGUUUAAAGGGAGCGUAGGCGGAUUGUUAAGUCAGCGGUUAAAGGGUGUGGCUCAACCAUGCAUUGCCGUUGAAACUGGCGAUCUUGAGUGCAGACAGGGAUGCCGGAAUUCGUGGUGUAGCGGUGAAAUGCUUAGAUAUCACGAAGAACUCCGAUCGCGAAGGCAGGUGUCCGGGCUGCAACUGACGCUGAGGCUCGAAAGUGUGGGUAUCAAACAGGAUUAGAUACCCUGGUAGUCCACACAGUAAACGAUGUAUACUCGCGGUUUGCGAUAGAUUGUAAGCCGCCAAGCGAAAGCAUUAAGUAUACCACCUGGGGAGUACGCCGGCAACGGUGAAACUUAAAGGAAUUGACGGC